UCGAGAAUUUUUCACAAUGGGGGCAACCCUGAUGGAGCGACGCCGCGUGGAGGAUGAAGGUCUUCGGAUUGUAAACUCCUGUCAUUGGUGAACAAGAUGGGCGGGGUAACUCCUUGCCUAUUUGCUAGUAGCCGAAGAGGAAGGGACGGCUAACUCUGUGCCAGCAGCCGCGGUAAUACAGAGGUCCCAAGCGUUGUUCGGAUUUAUUGGGCGUAAAGGGUGCGUAGGCGGCGGAGUAAGUUGGGUGUGAAAUCCCGGGGCUCAACCUCGGAAUUGCAUUCAAUACUGCUUCGCUCGAGUACUGGAGAGGAGGCUGGAAUUUACGGUGUAGCAGUGAAAUGCGUAGAUAUCGUAAGGAAGGCCGGUGGCGAAAGCGAGCCUCUGGACAGUUACUGACGCUGAUGCACGAAGGCCAGGGGAGCAAACGG
This 428-nucleotide ribosomal RNA is filed under the name uncultured bacterium. RNAcentral's name for it is "bacterial SSU rRNA". It matches the Rfam family "Bacterial small subunit ribosomal RNA", at positions 355 to 775 of the family's 1533-position model. The record is from RNAcentral.